GGAUUCUUCAGUUUUCCACGCUUUGACGAAGGAACCAUGUGGGCAGUUCGUCGAGCGUCUUCUUCCUUCAAGAAACAAGUAUUUAUAACCGGAGGCUCUCGAAUAUGUUAUUCCACUCUAGAUAUUACAAGUCACUGCCUGAAAGGACACAAUGAUGGGCUUAAAGGGGAUUCCAAUGUAAUAUCACAUAGAGCUCUUACACUUGGAGGAUACCAAAUAACAUCUCAUGGUUUUCUAAGAGUAUUCAAGGAAAGCCGAAGUUUUUCUUCACAAGCUGGCACAAAGAGCAGUGGAGAGGAGGAUAGUAAUUCAGACGAUGGAUUUUCAGAGCUUGAAUCUUCUAGUGCAACUGAGGCAAUACAAGAAGUCAACAAAGUUGAUGAGUCAGUCUCUGAGCAUGAGAUUUCCGAUGAGGAUCUUGAUGGUGAAGAUGUGGAAGCACCUCAGGAAUUAUUGUCUGAUACCGAGGCUGAGAUAACAAACGGAAGUCUCCAAGGAACGGAGUUUCUUCAGCAUUAUUCAAUGCUGUCAUGG
RNAcentral lists this unclassified non-coding RNA (534 nucleotides) under Hevea brasiliensis (rubber tree). Lineage: Eukaryota; Viridiplantae; Streptophyta; Magnoliopsida; Malpighiales; Euphorbiaceae. The record is from RNAcentral.